CCUACGGGUGGCAGCAGUGAGGAAUAUUGGUCAAUGGACGAGAGUCUGAACCAGCCAAGUAGCGUGAAGGAUGACUGCCCUAUGGGUUGUAAACUUCUUUUAUAUGGGAAUAAAAUGUUCCACGUGUGGGAUUUUGUAUGUACCAUAUGAAUAAGGAUCGGCUAACUCCGUGCCAGCAGCCGCGGUAAUACGGAGGAUCCGAGCGUUAUCCGGAUUUAUUGGGUUUAAAGGGAGCGUAGGUGGAUUGUUAAGCCAGUUGUGAAAGUUUGCGGCUCAACCGUAAAAUUGCAGUUGAAACUGGCAGUCUUGAGUACAGUAGAGGUGGGCGGAAUUCGUGGUGUAGCGGUGAAAUGCUUAGAUAUCACGAAGAACUCCGAUUGCGAAGGCAGUUCACUGGACUGCAACUGACACUGAGGCUCGAAAGUGUGGGUAUCAAACAGGAUUAGAUACCCGUGUAGUC
Molecule: ribosomal RNA, 460 nt
Filed under: uncultured bacterium
Lineage: Bacteria
Description: partial 16S ribosomal RNA
Rfam family: Bacterial small subunit ribosomal RNA
Source: RNAcentral